AUUGAACGCUGGCGGCAGGCCUAACACAUGCAAGUCGAACGGUAGCACAGGAGAGCUUGCUCUUCGGGUGACGAGUGGCGGACGGGUGAGUAAUGCAUGGGGAGCUGCCCAAUCGAGGGGGAGACCAGCUGGAAACGGCUGCUAAUACCACAUACGCCCUGACGGGGCAAGGUGGGGACCUUCGGGCCUACCGCGAUUGGAUGACCCCAUGUGGGAUUAGCUAGUUGGUGAGGUAACGGCUCACCAUGGCGACGAUCUCUAGCUGGUCUGAGGGGAUGACCAGCCACACUGGAACUGAGACACGGUCCAGACCCCUACGGGAGGCAGCAGUGGGGAAUAUUGCACAAUGGGGGAAACCCUGAUGCAGCCAUGCCGCGUGUGUGAAGAAGGCCUUCGGGUUGUAAAGCACUUUCAGUGGGGAGGAAGGGGCGAUGACUAAUACUCAUCGUCAUUGACGUUACCCACAGAAGAAGCACCGGCUAACUCCGUGCCAGCCGCCGCAGUAA
RNAcentral lists this ribosomal RNA (506 nucleotides) under uncultured bacterium. RNAcentral describes it as "partial 16S ribosomal RNA". It matches the Rfam family "Bacterial small subunit ribosomal RNA", at positions 29 to 523 of the family's 1533-position model. The record is from RNAcentral.